AACACUGUUAACCUGCGGUACCUGCGGAGGGAUCAUUAUUGGAAAUCCUUUUACAAAAAAAAGUUGUGGAGGGAAAAAAAGUAUUUUCUUUUUUUCUCCUCUGCUUCUUUUUUUUCAAACAAAUGAUCACAACAACUAUAAUCUGAUGGAUGGAUGCUAUAUUGAUUUGGUUGGCUUGGCUUGAUUUAUUUAUAGCAAUAGCAACAAAAGUGUUUGCCUGAUAAGAGAAACAUACAUUUU
RNAcentral lists this unclassified non-coding RNA (240 nucleotides) under soil metagenome. Its description in RNAcentral is "partial contains 5.8S ribosomal RNA, internal transcribed spacer 2, and large subunit ribosomal RNA". The record is from RNAcentral.